Molecule: transfer RNA, 73 nt
Filed under: Treponema saccharophilum
Lineage: Bacteria; Pseudomonadati; Spirochaetota; Spirochaetia; Treponematales; Treponemataceae
Also listed under: 3 other names
Description: tRNA-fMet
Rfam family: tRNA
About the family: Transfer RNA (tRNA) molecules are approximately 80 nucleotides in length.
Source: RNAcentral
CGCUGGGUAGAGCAGUUGGCAGCUCGUCGGGCUCAUAACCCGGAGGCCGGAGGUUCGAGUCCUUCCCCAGCUA